UGCCCAGGCCAGGCGAAGCCGGGCUGUAGGCAGGAUGGUAGACUGCUGCACCGAAAACAUUUCUGUGCCAGCUCCGUGACUGGGGAAGGCUAAAGAGAAUGUCAAUGUCACGG
Long non-coding RNA from Pipra filicauda (Wire-tailed manakin), 113 nucleotides. RefSeq lists it as uncharacterized. The record is from RefSeq and is a predicted model, not a curated record. NCBI's taxonomy places the organism in Eukaryota, Metazoa, Chordata, Aves, Passeriformes, Pipridae. The transcript is spliced from 3 exons.